GUUAUGAACCGCUCCGGUGGCCUAGUGGUUAGAGUGUCUGCCUGGGAUGCAGGAAGAUGCGGGUUCGAUCCCUGGUCAAGUCAUACCA
Non-coding RNA from Potamilus streckersoni, 88 nucleotides. The record is from the annotation of a GenBank genome assembly. NCBI's taxonomy places the organism in Eukaryota, Metazoa, Mollusca, Bivalvia, Unionida, Unionidae.